AUUGAACGCUGGCGGCAUGCCUUACACAUGCAAGUCGAACGGUAACGGGCCUUCGGGUGCCGACGAGUGGCGGACGGGUGAGUAAUACAUCGGAACGUGCCAGAUCGUGGGGGGUAACGAGGCGAAAGCUUUGCUAAUACCGCAUACGAUCUACGGAUGAAAGCAGGGGAGCGCAAGGGCUUGCGCGGGUGGUGCGGUCGAUGGUAGAUUAGGUAGUUGGUGGGUUAAAAGCUUACCAAGCCGACGAUCUGUAGCUGGUCUGAGAGGAUGAUCAGCCACACUGGGACUGAGACACGGCCCAGACUCCUACGGGAGGCAGCAGUGGGGAAUUUUGGGCAAUGGGCGCAAGCCUGAUCCAGCCAUGCCGCGUGCAGGAUGAAGGCCUUCGGGUUGUAAACUGCUGUUGUACGGAACGAAAAGCCUUCUUUUAAUACAGGAGGGUCAUGACGGUACCGAAAGAAUAAGCACCGGCUAACUACGUG
Molecule: ribosomal RNA, 482 nt
Filed under: uncultured bacterium
Lineage: Bacteria
Description: partial 16S ribosomal RNA
Rfam family: Bacterial small subunit ribosomal RNA
Source: RNAcentral